GCACUUAUUUCAGCAGCAUAUGGGCAAGAUUGGAAUGACACAGGCAUUAGCACGGCUUCUGUGUAAGAACGACACACAAAUUUGUGAAGCCCUUUAUAUUUUU
This is a non-coding RNA of Canis lupus familiaris (dog), 103 nucleotides long. The record is from Rfam. Lineage: Eukaryota; Metazoa; Chordata; Mammalia; Carnivora; Canidae.